This is a non-coding RNA of Microcebus murinus (gray mouse lemur), 461 nucleotides long. NCBI's taxonomy places the organism in Eukaryota, Metazoa, Chordata, Mammalia, Primates, Cheirogaleidae. The record is from RefSeq and is a predicted model, not a curated record.
UUAACUUAUAACAGAUUCUUUCACCAGGGGCAAAGUUGUUGGUAAGGAAUAAUUUAUAUCAGGGUGGCUGAAAUGAACUCUACCUUUACUCAUUUCCUUGGAUCAUAUCAAAUAUUUCUCCCAAAAUUCCACCAGACCAAAGACAACUAGAUGUUUCCUUCAAGGCCAAAUGGAUUGAUUUGCAGUUGGUGCUUAUUAAAAAUCAAAGUUGAAGAUGACUGACAAAGUUGGCUAAUGGACCAGACUAAAUUCUUACAGAUUCUAAUAUUUAUAACAAAUGUCUUCUGCAACCGAAGUACUCUAGGAACAACACUUCCAUUCAUGGACUGAGCAACUGCAUUAGGCCUUGCCAGCGUGUCACUUCAGUCAAAGUCACCAGUGUCAAGAAUAUCACAGGCUAAUUAUUUAAGUCCAACCAUUUCUUCAAGACCCUCCUCAAGUCUCACCUCCUCCCAGUCUUU